This 464-nucleotide ribosomal RNA is filed under the name uncultured bacterium. RNAcentral describes it as "partial 16S ribosomal RNA". It matches the Rfam family "Bacterial small subunit ribosomal RNA", at positions 338 to 795 of the family's 1533-position model. The record is from RNAcentral.
CCUACGGGAGGCAGCAGUAGGGAAUUUUCGUCAAUGGGCGCAAGCCUGAACGAGCAAUGCCGCGUGAACGAGGAAGGUCUUCGGAUCGUAAAGUUCUGUUGAAGGGGAAAAAGAGCGGAGAGAGGAAAUGCGUUCGGAUGGAGAUUACCCUUCGAGGAAGGCACGGCCGACUACGUGCCAGCAGCCGCGGUAAUACGUAGGUGGCGAGCGUGAGCCGGAAGGAUUGGGCGUAAAGGGUGCGUCUGCGGCCUGCUCAGUCGGGCGUGAACGCGACGGGCGCAACCGGUACAGGCUCUGGAAACUGGCGGGCUGGAGAGCGGGAGAGGGCGGUGGAACUCCAUGUGUAGCGGUAAAAUGCGUAGAUAUAUGGAAGAACACCAGUGGCGCCGGCGGCCGACUGGCCUGUUACUGACGCUGUGGCACGAACGCGUGGGGAGCAAAUAGGAUUAGAUACCCCUGUAGUC